GUGGGGAAUAUUGGACAAUGGGCGAAAGCCUGAUCCAGCAACGCCGCGUGAGUGAUGAAGGCCCUCGGGUUGUAAAGCUCUGUCAGAGGGAACGAAUAAAGACGGUCGAAUAGGCCGUCCGAUGACGGUACUCUCAAAGGAAGCACCGGCUAACUCUGUGCCAGCAGCCGCGGUAAGACAGAGGGUGCAAGCGUUGUUCGGAAUUACUGGGCGUAAAGGGCGUGUAGGCGGCAAGGUGUGUCCGGUGUGAAAUCCCUCGGCUCAACCGGGGAAUUGCAUUGGAAACUACCUAGCUAGAGUGCGAUAGAGGGUGGCGGAAUUCCUAGUGUAGAGGUGAAAUUCGUAGAUACUAGGAGGAACACCGGGAGCGAAGGCGGCUACCUGGCUCGCAACUGACGCUGAGACGCGAAAGCGUGGGGAGCAAACAGGAUUAGAUACCCCAGUAGUCC
RNAcentral lists this ribosomal RNA (449 nucleotides) under uncultured bacterium. RNAcentral's name for it is "bacterial SSU rRNA". It matches the Rfam family "Bacterial small subunit ribosomal RNA", at positions 354 to 796 of the family's 1533-position model. The record is from RNAcentral.